This 253-nucleotide ribosomal RNA is filed under the name uncultured bacterium. RNAcentral describes it as "partial 16S ribosomal RNA". It matches the Rfam family "Bacterial small subunit ribosomal RNA", at positions 524 to 776 of the family's 1533-position model. The record is from RNAcentral.
GACAGAGGGGGCUAGCGUUGCUCGGAAUCACUGGGCGUAAAGGGCGCGUAGGCGGGACGGCAAGUCGGUCGUGAAAUCCUCCGGCUCAACCGGAGAACGUCGGCCGAAACUGCCGUUCUUGAGGGAUGCAGAGGAGACUGGAAUUCCCGGUGUAGCGGUGAAAUGUGUAGAGAUCGGGAGGAACACCGGUGGCGAAGGCGGGUCUCUGGGCAUCUCCUGACGCUGAGGCGCGAAAGCGUGGGGAGCAAACGGG